ACAUCCAGAGAACUUUCCAGAGAUGGAUUGGUGCCUUCGGGAACUCUGAGACAGGUGCUGCAUGGCUGUCGUCAGCUCGUGUUGUGAAAUGUUGGGUUAAGUCCCGCAACGAGCGCAACCCUUAUCCUUUGUUGCCAGCGGUCCGGCCGGGAACUCAAAGGAGACUGCCAGUGAUAAACUGGAGGAAGGUGGGGAUGACGUCAAGUCAUCAUGGCCCUUACGAGUAGGGCUACACACGUGCUACAAUGGCGCAUACAAAGAGAAGCGACCUCGCGAGAGCAAGCGGACCUCGUAAAGUGCGUCGUAGUCCGGAUUGGAGUCUGCAACUCGACUCCAUGAAGUCGGAAUCGCUAGUAAUCGUGGAUCAGAAUGCCACGGUGAAUACGUUCCCGGGCCUUGUACACACCGCCCGUCACACCAUGGGAGUGGGUUGCAAAAGAAGUAGGUAGCUUAACCUUCGGGAGGGCGCUUACCACUUUGUGAUUCAUGACUGGGGUGAAGUCGUAACAAGGUAAGCGUAGAUGA
This 525-nucleotide ribosomal RNA is filed under the name uncultured bacterium. Its description in RNAcentral is "bacterial SSU rRNA". It matches the Rfam family "Bacterial small subunit ribosomal RNA", at positions 984 to 1509 of the family's 1533-position model. The record is from RNAcentral.